RNAcentral lists this ribosomal RNA (749 nucleotides) under Bacillus altitudinis. Its description in RNAcentral is "bacterial SSU rRNA". It matches the Rfam family "Bacterial small subunit ribosomal RNA", at positions 50 to 783 of the family's 1533-position model. The record is from RNAcentral. Lineage: Bacteria; Bacillati; Bacillota; Bacilli; Caryophanales; Bacillaceae.
UAUACAUGCAGUCGAGCGGACAGAAGGGAGCUUGCUCCCGGAUGUUAGCGGCGGACGGGUGAGUAACACGUGGGUAACCUGCCUGUAAGACUGGGAUAACUCCGGGAAACCGGAGCUAAUACCGGAUAGUUCCUUGAACCGCAUGGUUCAAGGAUGAAAGACGGUUUCGGCUGUCACUUACAGAUGGACCCGCGGCGCAUUAGCUAGUUGGUGAGGUAACGGCUCACCAAGGCGACGAUGCGUAGCCGACCUGAGAGGGUGAUCGGCCACACUGGGACUGAGACACGGCCCAGACUCCUACGGGAGGCAGCAGUAGGGAAUCUUCCGCAAUGGACGAAAGUCUGACGGAGCAACGCCGCGUGAGUGAUGAAGGUUUUCGGAUCGUAAAGCUCUGUUGUUAGGGAAGAACAAGUGCAAGAGUAACUGCUUGCACCUUGACGGUACCUAACCAGAAAGCCACGGCUAACUACGUGCCAGCAGCCGCGGUAAUACGUAGGUGGCAAGCGUUGUCCGGAAUUAUUGGGCGUAAAGGGCUCGCAGGCGGUUUCUUAAGUCUGAUGUGAAAGCCCCCGGCUCAACCGGGGAGGGUCAUUGGAAACUGGGAAACUUGAGUGCAGAAGAGGAGAGUGGAAUUCCACGUGUAGCGGUGAAAUGCGUAGAGAUGUGGAGGAACACCAGUGGCGAAGGCGACUCUCUGGUCUGUAACUGACGCUGAGGAGCGAAAGCGUGGGGAGCGAACAGGAUUAGAU